GGACAAGUCCCGGGCACUUGUAAUUGGAGACUCGUAAUACGGGCUGUAGUUGGAGUCUAGGUAGUAUUCUUAUGUUGGCAGAAGGUGUCUGGAGCUGUGAAGUUACCCUGCAGCACUUCGACCUUUUUCCUAACUUUCUUUCAGAUGCGGAUGGAUCGACCUCCCGGCAGAGCGCCCCGUCCCAGAUGAGGGGAUCCCCCUGAGAAGGAAGUAAAGCCGGAUAGCAGCAGUGAAGGUGAAGCAUUGUGAAGGUGGUCUACUUGCAAGAUAUCCCAGCCCAGGAUGCCAGAGGACAGGUUCCGUGCAGAGAGGCAGAGCCGAAGUUUGCGAUCGGCCGCACCGAAGCCGGCGCGGGGGAUGUCUCG
This is a long non-coding RNA of Poecile atricapillus (Black-capped chickadee), 365 nucleotides long. RefSeq lists it as uncharacterized. The transcript is spliced from 4 exons. The record is from RefSeq and is a predicted model, not a curated record. Lineage: Eukaryota; Metazoa; Chordata; Aves; Passeriformes; Paridae.